CAAGUCGAGCGAUGAAGUUUCUUCGGAAAUGGAUUAGCGGCGAACGGGUGAGGAACACGUGAAGAAUCUGCCCUCCACUUUGGGAUAACACCGGGAAACCGGUGCUAAUACUGAAUAUUGAAACAUAAGUGGCAUCACUGAGUUUUGAAAGAAUUCCGGUGGAGGAUGACUUCGCGGCCUAUCAGCUAGUUGGUGAGGUAAUGGCUCACCAAGGCAACGACGGGUAGCCGGCCUGAGAGGGCGACCGGCCACACUGGGACUGAGACACGGCCCAGACUCCUACGGGAGGCAGCAGUGGGGAAUAUUGGGCAAUGGAGGAAACUCUGACCCAGCGACGCCGCGUGCGGGAUGAAGGCCUUCGGGUUGUAAACCGCUUUCAGUAGGGAAGAAGCGAAAGUGACGGUACCUACAAAAGAAGCACCGGCUAACUAUGUGCCAGCAGCCGCGGUAAUACAUAGGGUGCAAGCGUUGUCCGGAAUUAUUGGGCGUAAAGAGCUCGUAGGUCGUUUGUUACGUCGGAUGUGAAAACCUGAGGCUCAACCUCAGGCCUGCAUUCGAUACGGGCAAACUAGAGUUUGGUAGGGGAGACUGGAAUUCCUGGUGUAGCGGUGGAAUGCGCAGAUAUCAGGAGGAACACCAAUGGCGAAGGCAGGUCUCUGGGCCAAAUACUGACACUGAGGAGCGAAAAGUCUGGGGAGCGGCACAGGAUUAGAUACCCCUGGUAGUCCCAGAGCGUAAACGGGUGGGCACUAGUUUGUGGGAAACCUUCCGCGGUUUCUGCGACGCAGCUAACGCAUUUAUUGGCCCCGCCUGGGGAGUACGAUCGCAAGAUUAAAACUGAAUGAAUUGGAGGG
Molecule: ribosomal RNA, 854 nt
Filed under: uncultured bacterium
Lineage: Bacteria
Description: bacterial SSU rRNA
Rfam family: Bacterial small subunit ribosomal RNA
Source: RNAcentral